RNAcentral lists this non-coding RNA (87 nucleotides) under Candidatus Kentrum sp. G. Lineage: Bacteria; Pseudomonadati; Pseudomonadota; Gammaproteobacteria. The record is from RNAcentral.
CUCCAUGGCGGGCUGUGCGGGCAGUCUUCGGACUGGCCGGUUUUCCUAUUUCUCCGGUAUUCCUACCCCGCACAGUCCGCCGCCCUU